UACGUAGGGGGCAAGCGUUGUCCGGAAUCAUUGGGCGUAAAGCGCGUGUAGGCGGCCUCGUAAGUCCGUUGUGAAAGUCCAGGGCUCAACCCUGGAAUGCCGAUGGAUACUGCGGAGCUAGAGUCCGGAAGAGGCGAGUGGAAUUCCUGGUGUAGCGGUGAAAUGCGCAGAUAUCAGGAGGAACACCAAUGGCGAAGGCAGCUCGCUGGGACGGUACUGACGCUGAGACGCGAAAGCGUGGGGAGCAAACAGG
RNAcentral lists this ribosomal RNA (253 nucleotides) under uncultured bacterium. RNAcentral's name for it is "partial 16S ribosomal RNA". It matches the Rfam family "Bacterial small subunit ribosomal RNA", at positions 524 to 776 of the family's 1533-position model. The record is from RNAcentral.